RNAcentral lists this long non-coding RNA (254 nucleotides) under Dasypus novemcinctus (nine-banded armadillo). RNAcentral describes it as "lncRNA (ENSDNOG00000052395.1)". Lineage: Eukaryota; Metazoa; Chordata; Mammalia; Cingulata; Dasypodidae. The record is from RNAcentral.
AGAUAUCUAGCUAAGACCUGAGGACUCCUUUUGAAUGACUGUGAGUGCUCCUGCCAGGAUAAUGUAACUAGAGGAUCCAGGCUGGGCAGACUCAACCAUGGGAGCCAACACUUCAAGCAAACCGCCAGUGUUUGAUGAAAACGAGGAUGUCAACUUUGACCACUUUGAAAUUUUGCGAGCCAUUGGGAAAGGCAGUUUUGGGAAGGUGAGAAUCAAAAUAUGUAUCACCUCAGGGUAAUGUAGCUCAGGAAGCA